Molecule: ribosomal RNA, 111 nt
Filed under: Caerostris darwini
Lineage: Eukaryota; Metazoa; Arthropoda; Arachnida; Araneae; Araneidae
Source: RNAcentral
AACGGCCGUACCAUGCUGAAUAUACCGGUUCUCGUUAGAUCACCGAAGUUAAGCAUCAUUGGGCGCGGUCAGUACUUGGGUGGGUGACCUCCUGGGAACAAUGCUUGCCGU